AUUAGAUACCCCACUAUGCUUAGCCCUAAACAUAGAUAAUUUUACAACAAAAUAAUUCGCCAGAGGACUACUAGCAAUAGCUUAAAACUCAAAGGACUUGGCGGUGCUUUAUAUCCCUCUAGAGGAGCCUGUUCUAUAAUCGAUAAACCCCGAUAAACCUCACCACCUUUCGCUAAUUCAGUCUAUAUACCGCCAUCUUCAGCAAACCCUCAAAAGGUAGAACAGUAAGCACAAUCAUUUUACAUAAAAAAGUUAGGUCAAGGUGUAACUUAUGAGGUGGGAAGAAAUGGGCUACAUUUUCUACCCAAGAACAUUUCACGAAUGUUUUUAUGAAAUUAAAAACUGAAGGAGGAUUUAGUAGUAAAUUAAGAAUAGAGAGCUUAAUUGAAUAGGGCCAUGAAGCACGCACACACCGCCCGUCACCCU
RNAcentral lists this ribosomal RNA (426 nucleotides) under Canis lupus familiaris (dog). RNAcentral's name for it is "partial 12S ribosomal RNA". It matches the Rfam family "Bacterial small subunit ribosomal RNA", at positions 777 to 1403 of the family's 1533-position model. Lineage: Eukaryota; Metazoa; Chordata; Mammalia; Carnivora; Canidae. The record is from RNAcentral.